AGCCCUGAGGUGUUACAUAUAAGAUUGCAAAUCUUAAGAAGCAGAGUAGGAUCUGCCGGGGCUU
RNAcentral lists this transfer RNA (64 nucleotides) under Hoplichthys gilberti. RNAcentral's name for it is "tRNA-Cys". Lineage: Eukaryota; Metazoa; Chordata; Actinopteri; Perciformes; Hoplichthyidae. RNAcentral also lists the same sequence under 2 other names. The record is from RNAcentral.